This is a long non-coding RNA of Bicyclus anynana (squinting bush brown), 1089 nucleotides long. RefSeq lists it as uncharacterized. The record is from RefSeq and is a predicted model, not a curated record. The transcript is spliced from 2 exons. Lineage: Eukaryota; Metazoa; Arthropoda; Insecta; Lepidoptera; Nymphalidae.
CCUAAAUGUACAUCACUGGCAGUUUCGUGUGAAACAUUAUUCGCAAAGUUUGCAAAGUUUUGAUUUAAAAAGUGAAUUAAAUAAAUUAAGUGAAUUGAAAAAACAGGAUAUAAAAGACUAAUGGCGCCUCCACUACCCUGUGGCCCCUACUGCGGCAACGGUUACUGCGCAUCGCACUGCCAAUUCAAAAACAUGCCGCUCCCGCCAUCGCACCAGCAGCAGUGGAAACCACCGCCUUACAGUGAACCACCUUCAAGGAACCCCAACACUCCAAACAGGCCGCCAGUAACUCUUCCGCAGUAUCGCCAACCGUCACCAGGUUUCCCCCAUCCGCCAAUGCACCCACCUCAUUAUCGUCCGCCUUACCCUCGCCCGCCUUAUGGACCACCAGUACCCGGAGAUCCGUAUCCUCCUGUUCAUCGUCCAUUAUGAACUAAAAACAUGUUUGGGGUAUCCAUGAAUUACGUGUCACGACGAUUUUGUGAGAUUGGGUGGUAGAGUACCUUUUGUAAUUCAACGAUUGAAUGAGAUUUGAUAAAAUUCAAUUCACAUCCUGCGUAAUCAAUGGAACCCCGUAACUGAAUUAGAAUUAAGACAUGUAGAUAAAUAAAUAAAUUAUUUGGGUACAAUUGUAAGUGGAUAUAUUUCUAUGUCUAACAAUACUUCAGUCUGCAUGUGUCUGGUCGAGGUCAAUUUGUAAUUUUCAGUGAGACUACGUCUCUUCAUAGAUAUUACAGAAGCGCUGUAUGAAUGUGUUGACAUUAGUGAUGUGCUAUAUCAUCAAAAAUGUACAUCAACGGAUACGGCUGUUUGACCUGAGGAUCAGAUUCACAUCACUAGUACAUACGUCAGAGUUAAAUUAAUCUGUAAAUACUCGUAGUGAAGUAAGUAGUUUGACCGAUGAUUGACAAAAUAAUUUUUAUACAAGUUCUGGAGCUAAGAUUUUUUACUUUUUAAGAUUAUUAAUGUUUACAUUGAUUGAGGAACGUAUUGUUUUAUUAAACAAGGUAGGUCACUAAAAAUAUGUUAUUUAUUGUAGUCCUAUGUGUGUCCCUGUGUUAUAAAAAUAUACUUGUUUUUUGUUUUGUA